UUCAGCAUUCUUGAAGAUCCUUAUUGGGGUGUUGUCAACCAAAAAUCUGCAAUUAGUUACAUGAACUUGUUAGCGUGUUUGUUAUAAGCACAUAAUUGAGUUCUUUAUACAAACACGAACUUAAAUAUAUAUUACUUACAUAAUGUGUUGUGGCUUCCAGAUGAUAGAGUAAGUGUGGAAGUUCUUGGUUGGGUCGAACCAGAGGUAGAAUUGUUGUUCUCUGUUUCCUUUGCCUUGAGAAAACACGUUUGUGUGGAGAAUGUAAGGAUCGCCACUAACAUUUCCUAAGAACUCAAAAUCAAUUUCAUCAUGAGUCGGUCCCUGUGAUGACAACUGCACCAUAUAUCAUCGUUAUUUACUUGCAGCACCACAAUACACAAGAAGCAAAACAGAAACAGAACAAAAAUAUUCUCAUAAAAGCUUUUGAUAUCGUGUUGAAGCUAUUUUAAUUAAAGUUGCUUUCGGAAUAGAAAGAAUAUAUGAUAUGCUAAAUGAGGAAGUAAAGAAAGGAAUAAAAAAUGAAGUACAUACAUAGUAAGCAGUAACAGUUCCAGCAGAAUUUCCAGCAACAAGUUUAAGUUGCAUAUCAAUUCUACCAAAUAAAUACUCUUUCUUGGAUUGGAAGCCAGAGCCAGAAGUUUUAUCAAGAGAAAGAGAUAGAAGUUGACCACCAUUGAAUAUCUUAGCACGGUGGUCACCCCAAGUUAGAUCAAAGUCUUGGUUGAAGUUAGCAGAACAUGUAGCUACCAAGGAGCUAAUUAUCAUGACUCCAAUCAGCAUACUGUUAAUGCCAAUAGAAUAAGCCAUAUUAAUUAAUUUGCACAGAGAAAUGUGUGUGUGUGUGUGAGAGAGAAAUAUUAAUGUAAUUGUUGUGAUGUGUGAAGGAUGUGUUAGAAUUAGAAAAGAGGGUCUAUAUAUGUGUGUUAGGGACUUGGGGUGAGAAAUUAGAAUGGGAAUAUGUUGUGGAUUGUAGUGUAAGGUGGUGAGACGCGUGAAUGGAGUCUGGUAUACCCCAAAAGUUGGUGCCAGCUUUGCAAGUUUUUGAAAGCUGGAUGCUUUUGUUUGAUCAUAGUUUUUAAAUUAUGCUUGCUUGAUUUUGUUUUGGGAUUUUCCAACGAACCAACGUUAUGAAUUGCAUGAGUCAAUAAUUAUCAUAGCGACCUAAUUAUGUUACGUAUGUGUAGGCGCCCACACGUUUUGAUAUGGUUUGGGCCAAAAACUUGGAAAUGAAAUUAGGUGCUGGAUGGCAACCGAGGUGAAUGAGAUGAAGGAACUGAUCUAGCUAGUGAUAAAACAACGAAAAUUGAUGUUUACACUGUAAACAAGUUAAGAAACACCAUGAAACGAUAAAUUUAACCUCAAUUUCUAUCAGCAGUUAACUACCAUCCGUUAAAAACCAUCGACAGUUAACUGCUGAUAAAUUCGUGGUUUUUCCUAGAAUCCUUUGAUGUGGGAACAUCAUUUUUCUAAAUCAACUCCUUUACGAUAUGUUAGCAAGUUGCGGGGUCAUUUUGAGUCCUUAAGGCAGGGUCACAUUAGGGAGGGGUGAAAAAAGUGAAAAUCAAUUUGUGUGAACAUCAAUUCUUUUACUAAAAGCUACUUCCUCCGUCUCAAUUUAAAUGAAUCUUUUGCUCAUUUCACACUUAUAAAGAAAAGACCAUUACUUUUUUCGCUCUGCUAUUCUCACACACCCUGCAAAAAAGACCAAAAUAUUCUUGAUUUGGAUUAUAUAAUCUGAGCUGAUUGUUAACAUUUUUUGGAUUAUAAAAUCCGAAAUUAUUUCGAACUGUGAUUUCAGUGUUGUAUUUGAUGUUAGAGGUCUCUACUGACCAUCGUAGUAUCCCCGUACUAGCUAGAGUGUUGAGAUCUAAAUGACCUAUAUCCUAUCAUAUUUUUCUUCUCUUUUUUUUUUUGGCUUAAUUUCAGUUUUGGUACCCCUAUUUUCUUCAUUUUGUGAAAUUGGUCCCCCCUAUUUUAAAAUUCGACAAUUUUGGUCGCUCUAUCAAAUAUUUUGUCUAAAAUAUUGUGAUAUGAUAUGUUUUAAAUAAAGUUUUCAAGAGAAUUUUGUUACAAUUUCAUUGAUGUUGAUUUUUUUCCAUCUUCAUAUCAUAUUCCACAACAUUUAAAAUUUAUCACGUCACUUUUUUAUUGUUCAAAAAUAUGAUGGAAUGACCAAAAGUGUCGAAUUUUAAAAUAGGGGGACCAAUUAUGCAAAAUGGUGAAAAUAGGGGGACCAAAACUGCAAUUAAACCUUUUUUCUGGACCAAUUUUUUUUUUUUACCUAUUUCUUUUUUAGCCCACACUUUUCGCAAACAUAACGUUUCCACUUUCCCUUUUCUACACAUUUUCAAAAACAAAAGAGAACACAGACAUAUCGUUCCUUUUUGACGCCGGCAAGGGCAUUCCGAUGACAACAAAGUCAACAUUUUCUUAUUUCACAUUCAAAACGAAAAGGUCAGCGUUUUCAAAAUGAAAAAUAGAGCUUCAACAUAUUAACAUAUAUAUGUCAUAUUAAUUUUAGUUAAACUCGUACGAGUUCACCCAAAUAAAAUGAAUUGAGGUAAAGUUCCAAGUUGAAAAACCUUGCUAACGAUAAUUUUCUUAAAAUCAUCAAGAUGACAAAAAGACAGUUCCUACUGAUGAAGUCCUAGUUCCUACUGGUUGAAGCAUGUGGAACUAGUGAAAGAGGAAGAAACCAUUAAUUUAGGUCCUAAUAAACUAUCUCCCCCUCUUCAAUUUAAUCCCUAAACUACAAAAAUAUACUAGAUAGUCCCUAAACUAUACAAAAUUCAUCAAUUUAGUAGUUUAGUUCCUAAAUUAAACUCUCUCUUCAAUUUAGUCCAUAAACUAUAAAAAUAUACUAAAUUAGUCCUUGAACUAUACAAACCAGUUACGUUACCCAAUCUUCCUUAAUAAUUGAUUCAAGGUUUAUCUCAAAAGAGUAUCAUUGUUAUUGUGAUACGACAAAGGACAGUGGCAAAAGCCCCCUCAAUGAGGGUAAUGUAUUUGUAAAUACUCAAAACAUUCGAGUAAAUGAAAAAAAGGAAGUGAGCUCUCAAGAAGAAUGGGAAAGAUAAAAAUCAAGUGAUUUUUCCGGUAGAAGUAGAUCACCGUGUGAUUUUGACUGCACACUUAAAAAAAAUAGUGAGUUUUGAUUUUUCUAAUAGAACUUUAUGAAUAACCACGUAAUAAUUAUUAUAUUUUAUACAAAAAUACAAUUUCUUUUUAUAUUUUAUAUAUUACUCACUUGUAGUACUCUUAAGCAAGUCAAUCUACAAUAUAUGAAAAAUACUCCCUCCAAUCCGGACUAUAAGAGAAGAAUCUAUUUUUAGGUUCAUUGAAUAAUUAAUAUAUUUAGACUACAGUGUAGAGUAAAUACAUCAUUUAUUUAAUGAACUUAAAAAAAAAAAAAAUCUUCUCUUAUAUUAAGGACCGUAGCGAGUAAUAAACUAUAAGUUAGUCGAUAGCACAAUUAAGGCUUAAUUAUGUGCAUUAAGAGAAAUUUUCGCCAUAGUAAUUUUUGUAAUAAACAUUGAGAUGAAUUUUCAUCAUUUUCAAAUUACAAGUUCAUUGGUGUAUUCCGCGACAAGUAAAGUUUAUUGACAAGCAAAGUAUUAGGGAUUCAUAGUAACAAAGUAAUGAAGGUUGAGUUCUAUAUGCGUCAUAUGUUUCAAUUUAGUCCUCAUUAGAUACGAAUAUAGUAUAUAUAGUGUUCUCAACGUAUAGAUUGAAAAGUGAUAAGGAAGUGGUACAAAGAAUUUGAUUUAUUUGAUCAUGUGCUAUCUAAAAUAGACACCAAAAAAAUAUAGAGGAAUAUAUAAAAUCAAAGAAUCAUAACAAAUUAAAAUAAGAUGGCUAUUAUAUGUUCUUCAUCAUUGAUCUCUCAUCAGAACCUUGGACGCUUACACUCAGCAGGAAUACCUUCUGGGAAUCGCUUAAGAUCGUUGCAGUAAUUAUAGAUCAUAAAGUAUUUCUGAACCCAUCUCAAUCUUCUUCUACCAUAAGCAUCAAGCUCAUUGCUUUGCAAUGCAGAAUCAGAGAAGGAAGUGGAAGAGACAGAAGAUAACUCAGUAGCUUUGAAAUUGCGGUAGUAAGCUGUAAAGGGUGCUUUGGACCAAUCAGUUUUCACCAAACCACCUCUUGUAGCCCAAUCAUCAGCAUUCCAGAGACUUGAAUAGAUUCUCAUUGGUUGGUUCUUUGGGAAUGGAAUACCAAUUGAUUCAGCAUUCUUGAAGAUCCUUAUUGGGGUGUUGUCAACCAAAAAUCUGCAAUUAGUUACAUGAACUUGUUAGCGUGUUUGUUAUAAGCACAUAAUUGAGUUCUUUAUACAAACACGAACUUAAAUAUAUAUUACUUACAUAAUGUGUUGUGGCUUCCAGAUGAUAGAGUAAGUGUGGAAGUUCUUGGUUGGGUCGAACCAGAGGUAGAAUUGUUGUUCUCUGUUUCCUUUGCCUUGAGAAAACACGUUUGUGUGGAGAAUGUAAGGAUCGCCACUAACAUUUCCUAAGAACUCAAAAUCAAUUUCAUCAUGAGUCGGUCCCUGUGAUGACAACUGCACCAUAUAUCAUCGUUAUUUACUUGCAGCACCACAAUACACAAGAAGCAAAACAGAAACAGAACAAAAAUAUUCUCAUAUAAAAGCUUUUGAUAUCGUGUUGAAGCUAUUUUAAUUAAAGUUGCUUUUGGAAUAGAAAGAAUAUAUGAUAUGCUAAAUGAGGAAGUAAAGAAAGGAAUAAAAAAUGAAGUACGUACGUAG
Molecule: long non-coding RNA, 4756 nt
Filed under: Medicago truncatula (barrel medic)
Lineage: Eukaryota; Viridiplantae; Streptophyta; Magnoliopsida; Fabales; Fabaceae
Description: long non-coding RNA (MTRU_LNC000987)
Source: RNAcentral